UACGUAGGGGGCAAGCGUUGUCCGGAAUCAUUGGGCGUAAAGCGCGUGUAGGCGGCUUGGUAAGUCCGUUCUGAAAGCCUGGGGCUCAACCCCGGGAGGCGGAUGGAUACUGUCAAGCUUGAGUCCGGAAGAGGCGAGUGGAAUUCCCGGUGUAGCGGUGAAAUGCGCAGAUAUCGGGAGGAACACCAAUGGCGAAGGCAGCUCGCUGGGACGUGACUGACGCUGAGACGCGAAAGCGUGGGGAGCAAACAGG
This 253-nucleotide ribosomal RNA is filed under the name uncultured bacterium. RNAcentral's name for it is "partial 16S ribosomal RNA". It matches the Rfam family "Bacterial small subunit ribosomal RNA", at positions 524 to 776 of the family's 1533-position model. The record is from RNAcentral.